CAGUAGCCGCGGUAAUACGGAGGAUCCAAGCGUUAUCCGGAUUUAUUGGGUUUAAAGGGUGCGUAGGUGGCCUGUUAAGUCAGGGGUGAAAGACGGUAGCUCAACUAUCGCAGUGCCCUUGAUACUGAUGGGCUUGAAUGAACUAGAGGUAGGCGGAAUGUGACAAGUAGCGGUGAAAUGCAUAGAUAUGUCACAGGACACCAAUUGCGAAGGCAGCUUACUAUGGUUUUAUUGACACUGAGGCACGAAAGCGUGGGGAGCAAACAGGAUUAGAUACCCGUGUAGUCCCUGUCUCUUAUAC
This 301-nucleotide ribosomal RNA is filed under the name uncultured bacterium. RNAcentral's name for it is "partial 16S ribosomal RNA". It matches the Rfam family "Bacterial small subunit ribosomal RNA", at positions 509 to 807 of the family's 1533-position model. The record is from RNAcentral.